GUCGCUUUGGCGGAGUGGUUAACGCGCGGCCCUGCUAUCCCUCAGCAUAGGCCGUUUCUUCGGAAGCGUAGGUUCGAAUCCUGCAGGCGACG
Molecule: transfer RNA, 92 nt
Organism: Podospora anserina
Lineage: Eukaryota; Fungi; Ascomycota; Sordariomycetes; Sordariales; Podosporaceae
Rfam family: tRNA
About the family: Transfer RNA (tRNA) molecules are approximately 80 nucleotides in length. Their secondary structure includes four short double-helical elements and three loops (D, anti-codon, and T loops).
Source: Rfam